GAUGAACGCUGGCGGCGUGCCUAAUACAUGCAAGUCGAGCGAACAGACGAGGAGCUUGCUCCUCUAACGUUAGCGGCGGACGGGUGAGUAACACGUGGAUAACCUACCUAUAAGACUGGGAUAACUUCGGGAAACCGGAGCUAAUACCGGAUAAUAUAUUGAACCGCAUGGUUCAAUAGUGAAAGACGGUUUUGCUGUCACUUAUAGAUGGAUCCGCGCCGCAUUAGCUAGUUGGUAAGGUAACAGCUUACCAAGGCAACGAUGCGUAGCCGGCCUGAGAGGGUGAUCGGCCACACUGGAACUGAGACACGGUCCAGACUCCUACGGGAGGCAGCAGUAGGGAAUCUUCCGCAAUGGGCGAAAGCCUGACGGAGCAACGCCGCGUGAGUGAUGAAGGUCUUCGGAUCGUAAAACUCUGUUAUUAGGGAAGAACAAAUGUGUAAGUAACUAUGCACGUCUUGACGGUACCUAAUCAGAAAGCCACGGCUAACUACGUG
RNAcentral lists this ribosomal RNA (497 nucleotides) under uncultured bacterium. Its description in RNAcentral is "partial 16S ribosomal RNA". It matches the Rfam family "Bacterial small subunit ribosomal RNA", at positions 28 to 507 of the family's 1533-position model. The record is from RNAcentral.